UGCCAUUUUGCUACUGGUAAACAUAUCGUUCUCUGAUUUAAAUACGACUAUUUCUGUCAAAUGUUACAUAUUAGUCUCUUCUGCAAGGGUUCGCUCGACGAUCUUGUCGAGUUAACCUUUAUAUUUUGCGCAUAAUAAAAAAAAAAAAAGAGAACAGGUUCUGAGUUCUCGAACGAUUACACUACCGUGCCAGUUUUUUAUGCGUUGCGGUAUUAAGAAGUGAUUCAUUUAUUGCAUGGUAAUGAAAUUUAUGUCAUAUACAUGUGUGACUACGUUUUGCAUAUCAAGAAUUUUUUCAAGGUUUUCUACAUUUUGAGUAAUGUGUCAUCGAACACAUAAUAAUAUAUUUCGAACGACGCCUAUCAUUUUCAUUUAUUUUUUUUGCUAUUUGUGUAUUUUCUCUCUAAAUCCUUUCUAUUGCAAAUUGAAACGCAAUAUUACUUAACAUUAACAUUAUUAUUCAUAAAUACGUUAUUUUUACGCAAUUUAUCAAUGAUGCCGUAUAAAAUGGUAACUUCCUACUGACAAGACUAUAGAAGAACUAGUAUAUAUUUGCAAAGUAAUAUCUGAGGUUCUUUCUAUUAACUCUCAAAAUGAUGGAAACCGAUCCUCCUCAAUUUUUGUCAAAAGAUGAUGAAAUUCAAUAUUGGAUGGAUCUUGCUCAUCAGAUGCAUCAAAGAAAAGAAGAUGUUGAAAGAGAAUUGGAAGAAUUUCAAGAAAAUUCUCAAAUGUUAGAAAAAGAAUUAGAAACAUCUUUAGAACAAGCUGAAAAAGCAAAUAGAGAAUUAAGACAAAGGAAUACACGACUUGCAACAGAAGUAGAGCAAUUAAGAACAAGAUUAGAUCAACAAACUGCGGAUUGUGCUAUGUUUCAGUCACAAGCACAAGAUUUGCAAUUACAACAUGAGCAAUUGAUGAAAUAUAUCAGAGAACUGGAACAGAAGAAUGAUGAUUUAGAAAGAGCACAUAGGGUAAAUAGAGUAACGGAAGAAGAGAUAGAAGCUAAAUUUAACUUGGCAAUAGAAAAGAAUGCUUUACUUGAGUCGGAGCUCGAUGAAAAGGAAGGCUUAAAAGUCAUAGUACAAAGAUUAAUGGAUGAAAUUAGAGAUUUGAAACAAGAGAUUCAAGUACAAGAGCGACACCAACCAGAUAAUGAUAAGACAGCAGAUAGAGUUCGUAAUCUUGUAGAUAGUAAUAAACUACAAGUUGAACUAGAAACACAUACACCACCUUCCAGUCCAUUAGUUUCACAGUCUAUACCUUCAAAUAACACGACUCCAUCAUUGAAAAUUGGAAAUGGAGUAGUAGGGGGUGUAAUUGGGAACAACAAUAAUAAUAUAAAUCCACCGUUGGCACCAUGUACCAGAAUAUUAGCGAUGAAUAUGAUUGGAGACCUGAUGCGAAAAGUUGGACUUGACAGAUGGGUCUGCAUGGACUGUAGGAGGGUGAAAUGCACUUGUCCAAAUGGAAAAAAAUCAAAUACCAUUCCAACAAAUAAUGCACCAUCGAUUCAAGUUUAUACACCUACACAGUGUAUUAGGCAACAACCUAGACCAGCCAAAUGCAGACAAUCUUCGUGAUACCUCAUCAUUAAAUUAUUUUCCAUCUCCUUAUAAUGCAGGCUUUGGAAAACAAAUUGAAUACAUGCAGAAAUGCAUCACGAGAGGACCAAGCUGUACGUGAUCUCUACAGGAGUAGACGACAAGUGAGAGGCGCAGCCUCAGGAAACAACAACCACAUUCGAUUGUAACAAGGUAUU
Molecule: RNA transcript, 1759 nt
Organism: Vespa mandarinia (Asian giant hornet)
Lineage: Eukaryota; Metazoa; Arthropoda; Insecta; Hymenoptera; Vespidae
Gene: nudE
Gene name: Nuclear distribution protein nudE
Source: RefSeq, a predicted model, not a curated record